This 253-nucleotide ribosomal RNA is filed under the name uncultured bacterium. RNAcentral's name for it is "partial 16S ribosomal RNA". It matches the Rfam family "Bacterial small subunit ribosomal RNA", at positions 524 to 776 of the family's 1533-position model. The record is from RNAcentral.
UACGUAGGGGGCAAGCGUUGUCCGGAAUCAUUGGGCGUAAAGAGCGUGUAGGCGGCCCGUUAAGUCCGCUGUGAAAGUCCAGGGCUCAACCCUGGGAUGCCGGUGGAUACUGUCGGGCUCGAGUCCGGAAGAGGAGUGUGGAAUUCCUGGUGUAGCGGUGAAAUGCGCAGAUAUCAGGAGGAACACCAAUGGCGAAGGCAGCACUCUGGGACGUGACUGACGCUGAGACGCGAAAGCGUGGGGAGCAAACAGG